ACCAGACUCCUACGGGAGGCAGCAGUCGGGAAUAUUGCGCAAUGGAGGAAACUCUGACGCAGUGACGCCGCGUGCAGGAAGAAGGUUUUCGGAUUGUAAACUGCUUUAGACAGGGAAGAAACAAGACAGUACCUGUAGAAUAAGCUCCGGCUAACUACGUGCCAGCAGCCGCGGUAAUACGUAGGGGGCAAGCGUUAUCCGGAUUUACUGGGUGUAAAGGGAGCGUAGACGGUGAUGCAAGUCAGAAGUGAAAGCCCGGGGCUCAACUCCGGGACUGCUUUUGAAACUGUGUAACUGGAGUGCAGGAGAGGUAAGCGGAAUUCCUAGUGUAGCGGUGAAAUGCGUAGAUAUUAGGAGGGACACCAGUGGCGAAGGCGGCUUACUGGACUGUAACUGACGUUGAGGCUCGAAAGCGUGGGGAGCAAACAGGAUUAGAUACCCUAGUAUC
This 448-nucleotide ribosomal RNA is filed under the name uncultured bacterium. RNAcentral's name for it is "bacterial SSU rRNA". It matches the Rfam family "Bacterial small subunit ribosomal RNA", at positions 330 to 794 of the family's 1533-position model. The record is from RNAcentral.